Molecule: ribosomal RNA, 301 nt
Filed under: uncultured bacterium
Lineage: Bacteria
Description: partial 16S ribosomal RNA
Rfam family: Bacterial small subunit ribosomal RNA
Source: RNAcentral
CAGCAGCCACGGUAAUACGAAGGGGGCUAGCGUUGUUCGGAUUUACUGGGCGUAAAGCGCACGUAGGCGGAUCGAUCAGUCAGGGGUGAAAUCCCAGAGCUCAACUCUGGGACUGCCUUUGAUACUGUCGAUCUGGAGUAUGGAAGAGGUGAGUGGAAUUCCGAGUGUAGAGGUGAAAUUCGUAGAUAUUCGGAGGAACACCAGUGGCGAAGGCGGCUCACUGGUCCAUUACUGACGCUGAGGUGCGAAAGCGUGGGGAGCAAACAGGAUUAGAUACCCCGGUAGUCCCUGUCUCUUAUAC